UACGGGGGGAGCAAGCGUUGUCCGGAAUUACUGGGCGUAAAGAGCUCGUAGGUGGUUUGUCGCGUUGUCCGUGAAAACUCACAACUCAAUUGUGGGCGUGCGGGCGAUACGGGCAGACUGGAGUACUGCAGGGGAGACGUGGAAUUCCUGGUGUAGCGGUGGAAUGCGCAGAUAUCAGGAAGAACACCAAUGGCGAAAGCAGGUACCUGGACUAUUACUGACGCUCAGCUGCGAAAGCGUGGGGAGCAAACAGG
Molecule: ribosomal RNA, 254 nt
Filed under: uncultured bacterium
Lineage: Bacteria
Description: partial 16S ribosomal RNA
Rfam family: Bacterial small subunit ribosomal RNA
Source: RNAcentral